RNAcentral lists this long non-coding RNA (997 nucleotides) under Marmota monax (woodchuck). Lineage: Eukaryota; Metazoa; Chordata; Mammalia; Rodentia; Sciuridae. The record is from RNAcentral.
GCCAGCUUUCAUGAUGACUUCUCCACCCUUCCACACACAAGAGUUUGUCACCAGGUCACUUUCUAUACUAAGUCUUUUGGCAUCCCUCAGGAAGCACAUUGUCUUAAAACUAUAGGAGCCUCCAAAAAUAUCAAGGUUAGAUAGACCUGGAAGAACCCAUGUUGCACUUCUGGAUUGGUCAGGGGGCCAAACUAGAGCCUCCUGAACUCAGGAACUACUGACCUUUUUCACACAGAGUCUAUAGCUAGAAAUAGUUCCCUAUGCACAUAUCUGUCCAAGCCUACACUAUAUGUAGAUCUUGAAGGAAACUCAAGCCCCAAAAUAUGAGCAGUCCUUGACUUUGAAACUCAUUUUCUUUAGGUCCUCCACAUUUUUAUAUAUAACUGUCUACUGAAAGAUAUCUCAAGUUUAACAUGCCCAAAACAGAACACUUGCAACAUGUCCCACCCAAGUGUUACUCUUUUGACUCUUCUCUCUUUACCCAGUUGCUGAAUCCAAAAAAAAAAACCUACGAAUAAACCUUGAUCCUUCCCUUUCCUUCACCUUUUAUAUCUACUUCAAAUACCUUGUUUCUACUUUCAAAAUAUAAAGUCAUUUACUUACCUCUACACUUAAGACUGUCAUCCUGGAUCAGACUGCUGUUAUGUCUUGCCUGGACAGUUGAAAUCACCAGUCUCCCUGAUUCCAUUCUUGCUCCCACUACGAUCUUACUAACAAGUAGCCAAGGUGACAGAGCACAUCUGUUGCUUCCUAAAACCCUCCAUUGACCUUCUAAUGCUUUCAAAAAAAAAAAAAAAAAAAGCCUCUUGCCCACCUCUCAGACCUCAUCUCAUAUCACUCUCCAUGUCACUCAUUGAGCUCCAGACCCACUGGCCCCUUUUGCUCUUCCUGAAAAAUGCUAAGUAAUUUCUGACCUAGGGCCUUUGUACUUUGUAGAUCUUCACUUGGAAUUUUUCACUUCUUAAUUGAAAGCCUAUUGCCCAUCUGUAUAAUUAGC